AGGACGAACGCUGGCGGCGUGCUUAACACAUGCAAGUCGAGCGGAAAGGCCCUUCGGGGUACUCGAGCGGCGAACGGGUGAGUAACACGUGAGUAACCUGCCCUUGGCUCUGGGAUAGCUCCGGGAAACCGGAAUUAAUACCGGAUAUGACUUCGGCCGACAUCGGCUGCGGUGGAAAGAUUUAUCGGCCAGGGAUGGGCUCGCGGCCUAUCAGCUUGUUGGUGGGGUAACGGCCUACCAAGGCGACGACGGGUAGCCGGCCUGAGAGGGCGACCGGCCACACUGGGACUGAGACACGGCCCAGACUCCUACGGGAGGCAGCAGUGGGGAAUAUUGCGCAAUGGGCGAAAGCCUGACGCAGCGACGCCGCGUGGGGGAUGAAGGCCUUCGGGUUGUAAACCCUUUCGGCAGGGACGAAGCGAAGUGACGGUACCUGCAGAAGAAGCGCCGGCUAACUACGUGCCAGCAGCCGC
RNAcentral lists this ribosomal RNA (473 nucleotides) under uncultured bacterium. RNAcentral describes it as "SSU rRNA". It matches the Rfam family "Bacterial small subunit ribosomal RNA", at positions 26 to 518 of the family's 1533-position model. The record is from RNAcentral.